CAGUGAUAUAAUUAAACGGCCGCGGUACCCUGACCGUGCAAAGGUAGCAUAAUCACUUGUUCUCUAAAUAAGGACUCGUAUCAACGGCAUCACGAGGGUUAUACUGUCUCCCCAUUCUAAUCAGUGAAACUGACUUCCCCGUGAAGAGGCGGGAAUGCUAAUACAAGACGAGAAGACCCCNUGGAGCUUUAAACCCAAUGUCAACCUCCACUAAACUCACCUAAAAAACAGAGAGGUUAUGAACAUUGGUUUUGGGUUGGGGUGACCACGGAGAAAAACAAAACCUCCNUGACGAAAGGACCUUAAUCCUAAUCUACGAGCUACUACUCCAAGAAUCACUAAUUUGACACAUCUGAUCCGGCAACCGAUCAACGAACCAAGUUACCCUGGGGAUAACAGCGCAAUCCAUUUCAAGAGCCCCCAUCGACAAAUGGGUUUACGACCCUCGAUGUUGGAUCAGGGUAUCCCAGUGGUGCAGCCGCUACUAAAGGUUUGUUUGUUCAACAAUUAAANCCCCUACGUGNAUCUGAGUUUNAAACCNGGAAUCCCCCACCNNUUCNAANNUCGUNCNUCUGNAUAACCCCUNANNCUUNUNACUUCNNCNUNGCCUCCAUCUCNNUCNC
This 623-nucleotide ribosomal RNA is filed under the name Limnonectes fujianensis (Fujian large-headed frog). Its description in RNAcentral is "partial 16S ribosomal RNA". It matches the Rfam family "Bacterial large subunit ribosomal RNA", at positions 1864 to 2638 of the family's 2925-position model. Lineage: Eukaryota; Metazoa; Chordata; Amphibia; Anura; Dicroglossidae. The record is from RNAcentral.